UGAAUACGAGAUGCUACGGCGUCGAAGCAGUGUAUGUCAGACUUCCAAGAAAAGCUCGCAAUGUCAUAAAUAAAGAAUGCCUGUACCAUAACCGACACAGGUGGGUAGGUAGAGUAUACUAAGGGGCGCGAGAUAACUCUCUCUAAGGAACUCGGCAAAAUAACUCCGUAACUUCGGGAGAAGGAGUGCCUUCUUUAAGAAGGUUGCAAUAACAAGAUCCAAGCAACUGUUUAUCAAAAACACAGGUCUCCGCUAAGUCGUAAGACGAUGUAUGGGGGCUGACGCCUGCCCAGUGCCAGAAGGUUAAAGAAGUUGGUUAGCUUUUGCGAAGCUGAUGACUGAAGCCCUGGUGAACGGCGGCCGUAACAAUAACGGUCCUAAGGUAGCGAAAUUCCUUGUCGGGUAAGUUCCGACCCGCACGAAAGGCGUAAUGAUUUGGAUACUGUCUCGGAGAGGGACUCGGUGAAAUAGACUUGUCUGUGAAGAUGCGGACUACCUGCACCAGGACAGAAAGACCCUAUGAAGCUUUACUGUAACUUGAAAUUGAAAUUGGACUUUAUUUGCGCAGUAUAGGUGGAAGGCGUUGAAAGUAAUCUUGCGGGAUUAGUGGAGCCAUCAGUGAGAUACCACUCCUAUAAUGUUAGAUUUCUAACUUUGGAUCAUGAUCUGGUCAAAGAACAGUUUCAGGCGGGCAGUUUGACUGGGGCGGUCGCCUCCCAAAUGGUAACGGAGGCGUACAAAGGUUUCCUCUGAACGGGUAGAAAUCGUAUCUAGAGUGUAAAGGCAUAAGGAAGCUUGACUGUGAGACCUACAAGUCGAGCAGGGACGAAAGUCGGUCUUAGUGAUCUGACGGUGCUGAGUGGAAAGGCCGUCACUCAACGGAUAAAAGUUACUCUAGGAUAACAGGCUGAUCUCCCCCAAGAGUUCACAUCGACGGGGAGGUUUGGCACCUUGAUGUCGGCUCAUCGCAUCCUGGGGCGGUAGUACGUCCCAAGGGUUGGGCUGUUCGCCCAUGAAAGCGGUACGCGAGCUGGGUUCAUAACGUCGUGAGACAGUUCGGUCCAUAUCCGGUGUAGGCGUUAGAAUAUUGAGAGGAGCCUUCUUUAGUACGAGAGGACCGAGAAGGACAUACCUCUGGUGUACCAGUUAUCGUGCCAACGGUAAACGCUGGGUAGCUAUGUAUGGAGAGGAUAACCGCUGAAAGCAUCUAAGUGGGAAGCCCACCUCAAGAUGAG
This 1235-nucleotide ribosomal RNA is filed under the name metagenome. Its description in RNAcentral is "bacterial LSU rRNA". It matches the Rfam family "Bacterial large subunit ribosomal RNA", at positions 1564 to 2808 of the family's 2925-position model. The record is from RNAcentral.